This 208-nucleotide long non-coding RNA is filed under the name Elaeis guineensis (African oil palm). RNAcentral describes it as "long non-coding RNA (EGUI_LNC046749)". Lineage: Eukaryota; Viridiplantae; Streptophyta; Magnoliopsida; Arecales; Arecaceae. The record is from RNAcentral.
UAUCAAAAGGAUUAAUGUUUUUUAGUUACAUAGAUUAAAAACCAAAAUAUAAAAAAGAUGAUCAAACACCAUAAUGAACUAUUGUUAUAUAUAAAUAAUCCUGAGUCAAGAUGAAACAUUUCCUUACAUUUUUCCACCUAUCUCUAGAGUCUACUAUAGUUAUUCGCUAAUUUUUUUCUAUAUUUCAACCAAUAAAUAAUAAGCAUCA